This is a non-coding RNA of Neodidymelliopsis sp. IMI 364377, 135 nucleotides long. The record is from the annotation of a GenBank genome assembly. Lineage: Eukaryota; Fungi; Ascomycota; Dothideomycetes; Pleosporales; Didymellaceae.
GACACGAUGGCCGAGUGGUCUAAGGCGGUAGAUUUAAGCAACUCCUGCUGCUUCUCUGCAUCCUUGCAAAAGCGCUUUCGUUAGCUCAGAUCUCUACUACGGAAACGUGCGUGGGUUCGAACCCCACUCGUGUCA